Molecule: ribosomal RNA, 552 nt
Filed under: Triticum aestivum (bread wheat)
Lineage: Eukaryota; Viridiplantae; Streptophyta; Magnoliopsida; Poales; Poaceae
Description: partial small subunit ribosomal RNA
Source: RNAcentral
AUGGAGCAAGAUGAGCAGGAGACACUAAUGGAGCUAAAGAGGAGAACCAAGAUUGAGAACUUUAGGAAACAUAAGGAGGCAUCUGAGCAUGUUCAAAUGGUUAAGCAAAAACUACCAGUUCUUCUAACUGAAGAUGACUCUGAUCUGGAUGCAGAUGAGGACUUUGUUAACAUGCUUAAUGAUUUGAGGAGGCAGAGAGAGGACCCACUCCUUCAUUUUGAAGGAGACAUUGAUGUGGAUGAAGUGUAUGGGGAAGAUGAGGAAGAGGAGCAAGUGGAGCAGAUGGAGCAUGAGGAGGAGGAGCGGAUGGAGCAACAACAGGAGCCAGCAAAGAAGAAGGAAAAAAGAAAAGGGCCAACCAAGAGGUCACAUUCAAGCUUGGAGCAAAGAUUUGAGGAUGUGUGGGUACCAUCAUCAGAUGAGGAGUAUGUAGGUGAUUUGAAGCAGGAAUAUGAUGAUGGAGCUGAGAAUGCACCUUUUAUUCUGCCCAAUGGAAGGAAGAGCAGAGCAUAUAAAGAAAAACCAAGGAAGUGUUAUAGUGAAGAAAGAUAG